This 497-nucleotide ribosomal RNA is filed under the name uncultured bacterium. Its description in RNAcentral is "partial 16S ribosomal RNA". It matches the Rfam family "Bacterial small subunit ribosomal RNA", at positions 28 to 507 of the family's 1533-position model. The record is from RNAcentral.
GAUGAACGCUGGCGGCGUGCCUAAUACAUGCAAGUCGAGCGAACGGACCCGACGCUUGCUUCUCUGAUGUUAGCGGCGGACGGGUGAGUAACGCGUGUAUCACCUACCUAUAUGUCUGGGAUAAUUUCGGGAAACCGGCGCUAAUACCGGAUGAUAUUUUGAACCGCAUUGUUCAAAAGUGAGAGACGGUCUUGCUGUCACUUCUAGCUGCAUCCGCGCUGCAUUGGCUAGUUGGUAAGGUAACGGCUUACCAAGGCAACGAUGCAUAGCCGAGCUGAGAGGGUGAUAGGCGACACGGGAACUGAGACACGGUCCAGACGCCUACGGGAGGCAGCAGUAGGGAAUCUUCCGCAAUGGGCGAAAGCCUGACGGAGCAACGCCGCGUGAGUGAUGAAGGUCUUCGGAUCGUAAAACUCUGUUAUUAGGGAAGAACAUAUGUGUAAGUAACUGUGCACAUCUUGACGGUACCUAAUCAGAAAGCCACGGCUAACUACGUG